GGGCACAUGGUGUAGUUGGUUAUCACAUCCGCUUAGCAUUGUUCAAAUCUUGCAUGCGGGGGGUGCUGGGUUCAAUUCCCAGUGUGUCCA
Molecule: non-coding RNA, 90 nt
Organism: Cristinia sonorae
Lineage: Eukaryota; Fungi; Basidiomycota; Agaricomycetes; Agaricales; Stephanosporaceae
Source: the annotation of a GenBank genome assembly